GAGGGAUUUUCAUCUCUACUAGGUUAUUGGUAGAUAAUAUAUACAUGUUUUAUUUUAUUUAUUUAUUUUUUUACACAUGUUUUAAUAAUUGCUAUUUACCUAGAAACAGCCAAGGUUUCACUUAGACUUACAGUAGAGAAUAGGGUUAAUUUCUUGUUUUCUACACAACCAAGUGGGAAGAAAAAAUGGCCAUUGUUUAUACCAAUACACAUGUGGAAAAUUAUAUUUUCUUUGAAGAGGCAGGAUAUUUUAAGGUAUCAUGGAGAAAGUGGUGGAAGGGGUGGGUUUUUUUUCAGAGAAAACAGAAGGAUCCGGUUCUUUAUGUUUCCGAUGCUUUUCACAGAUGUGACUUAUUGGUUUUGACAUCAGAUGUUCAUAUGUUGGUUUGAUUUAUGGAGCAGCUAAUUCUAAGGGUGGGAAAAUCAGAACAGAAAUUUUGGAAUAUCAAUCACAAUCGUCAUCUGCUUCCUUGUCUGGCCUGGCUAUAAUUUGUGGAUUCGACAUGUAAAUUAGACAUUUUCUUCUUUAACAAGGAAACUGGAAAGAGUAAUGUGUAUGCAUUGGUAAACAACACUUAUAUCUGCUUCAGGGGGAAAUGAUAAAGUUUUGAGUCUAUCUCUUAAAAGUGAGGACGAUCUUUGUCCUCAGUUAUUCAGACCCAGCUCCCAACAACUUUGUUUAGACUAGAGUUCUGUGUCUAGUUUGAAAGAAUAAUCAAAUAUAGUCGACAAAAUUUCGACCUUGCCUUGAUGUUUUGCAUUCUUUGCCUUGUGUUUGGGAGGGAGGAGAGUUGCUGGGCAGAUACGCAAGAGCAGUCAUUGUGCGAUGAUGGGAAGGAUGCAGGAAAGACUGAGUCCAGAGCUCCCCUCCUCCUACUGUGGCCGCCAAAUCAAGAGUUGGCUUGGAUGUGUCAUGACCUUGGCAGCCAGGCUGCCCUGAAGAGAUGCUUCUGGGUGGAAAGUAUUGAGAACAGAUCUUAUGGGUUUCGAUGAGAAGAAAAUUCAGGAAACCUUAAGAUUCACAUAUUUUCUAAUCUAUGGUUUUUAUCAGGACUCAUUAGGUAAUAUAAAUCAAGGUAAGUUGGGAACUUAACACAAUUAAACUCCUGUUUUCUGUAACAUUCAGCUAGCUGUUUAGAACUUCUCUGAAUCAAUUUUUACAAAUGAAAAAACCUAUCACAGUUAGGAUUAAUUUCCUCUUAUUGGAAAUGGAGUGGCA
This 1218-nucleotide long non-coding RNA is filed under the name Bos indicus x Bos taurus (hybrid cattle). RNAcentral's name for it is "lncRNA (ENSBIXG00005015878.1)". The record is from RNAcentral. Lineage: Eukaryota; Metazoa; Chordata; Mammalia; Artiodactyla; Bovidae.